Molecule: long non-coding RNA, 383 nt
Filed under: Coffea arabica (coffee)
Lineage: Eukaryota; Viridiplantae; Streptophyta; Magnoliopsida; Gentianales; Rubiaceae
Description: long non-coding RNA (CARA_LNC007441)
Source: RNAcentral
UAUUGAUUGCAGACUAUAUUCUCAUCAAUUCAAAAUUUAAAUUAUUUCAAACUCUAACACCUUGAUGAUCCACACAACCUUAACAUUUAAGAGGGAAUAGGAGUUUUUUGGUCCGCAUGUAUUUUGAUUAUGUAUUAUCCUAAUCUAAAUUACUAUUGUAAAUUCCUUUUUCUUUAUCUCCAAGAUCUACUCUGGUUUCUAUAUCUAUUAUUUGUGUUUUCAGAUUAUGCAAUUAUCUAGACAAAUGCCUCAAUUUCACAUAUUAUCAUUUCUAUCUCUAUACAUUUAUAAAUUCUUCAUCAAGUUUUUACUCUAGACCCUCCAAAGAAGCUCUGAAAAACUCCCUUUCUCUAGAAAUAUGCAAUCCAAAAAUAAAAAAAAAA